UGAAAAUCGGGCCGCCGCCCCCCCAGGUGUGAGCCGGGUGCCCUGGCGAAAUCGGCUCAAAACAAAGUGACGUUUGUCAAGAAUGUGGAGUAAUGAUUUAGGAUUCAGUGUUGUUUGCUCUUGGUAAAAAAAAACUAAUAUUUACCUUAUUUGCCUUCCCAAGUAAAACUAGUAAAAUUCUAUCAUAUACUUUAUGGAAAAUACAUGUUGCAUAUUUCUGAACAAUGAACCGUGAUGUCUUGUUGACGAUAUGACUUGGCGGCGCAGAUUACUGUUCGUGUUGAGCAGGGCGCUCCUCCUCCCUCUCCGCUUUCGGGCCAUGUCACGAGCCAUAGCCCGGUGCACCCCGGUCCAGUUGAAUUAAACUCCCUCAAUAUAACUCUACUCUAUGACAUGGAAACUAUGAUGUAAUUUCUGUGUACGGGCAACCCCAACAGCUCCUCCAGCAGAAGCUGCUUCCUCCUGCCUUCCAGAUGCUGCUGACCAAGUUGUCCACCAUCUGACAGGCGGUUCUGGCUGAUGACCUGUCGCCAUAGCUGAUAGAAACCCAGAAGGAAUAUCAUCCCCAAUGAUACUGCUAAUAUUAGUAACUGUACUGAUGAGGAACAGGAGGGCAGGCUUAUCCAUUGUCCCUGAACUGCUUGAAGUGUAGAGUCAAAAUGACAGUGCCACUUUGUUACCGCUAGUCACAUGUUUGAGAAGAUGUUCUGCAAAAAUAAUAACAAUACAGAGAUGGUCUUGCUCUUCAAUGAGGUUCUGACAAUCAUAUGUUGGAAUCCAUUAUAAAGAAAACCUACAGUAGUUGAACACUCUGUGUAGGUAGUAACCUGUUUGUUGAACGCCAGUGAUUCUAAGAACAAAAAUAACUGUUACCUGUAGGACAAUGUCUCUAUCACAGGUCACCAAGGGUACAACAAGGCAUAUCCUUAAUAAAAUACAUUUUCAUGGCUAA
This is a long non-coding RNA of Oncorhynchus tshawytscha (Chinook salmon), 952 nucleotides long. The record is from Ensembl. NCBI's taxonomy places the organism in Eukaryota, Metazoa, Chordata, Actinopteri, Salmoniformes, Salmonidae.